This is a small nuclear RNA of Peromyscus californicus insignis, 107 nucleotides long. The record is from RefSeq and is a predicted model, not a curated record. Lineage: Eukaryota; Metazoa; Chordata; Mammalia; Rodentia; Cricetidae.
GUGCUCGCUUCGGCAGCACAUAUACUAAAAUUGGAACGAUACAGAGAAGAUUAGCAUGGCCCCUGCGCAAAUAGAUUUUUUAACACAAAUAAAAUGAGUCUCCUUUA